This 229-nucleotide unclassified non-coding RNA is filed under the name Hevea brasiliensis (rubber tree). The record is from RNAcentral. Lineage: Eukaryota; Viridiplantae; Streptophyta; Magnoliopsida; Malpighiales; Euphorbiaceae.
GCCUACUUGUAAUUUGGGUAUUGGGGAUUCACUUGUUAGGAAGCAGAAGCAAUUGCCAAGAUUGGGAACAAUGGAAUUGAGUACUUCUUUUGUAGAUUUGAGGUUUUCAGCAAAAUGUGUUAAGGGUAAUUACAAGAAUUUGAAGAAACAGACAAAGGGUAGGAAGAACCUUAGGAUUGUUAAUGAUUUAGGUGGACAGUAUGAAGAAAGUUUUAGUGACAUUAAAACA